AUUGAACGCUGGCGGCAGGCCUAACACAUGCAAGUCGAGCGGCAGCGACAACAUUGAAUCUUCGGAGGAUUUGUUGGGCGGCGAGCGGCGGACGGGUGAGUAAUGCCUAGGAAAUUGCCCUGAUGUGGGGGAUAACCAUUGGAAACGAUGGCUAAUACCGCAUGAUGCCUACGGGCCAAAGAGGGGGACCUUCGGGCCUCUCGCGUCAGGAUAUGCCUAGGUGGGAUUAGCUAGUUGGUGAGGUAAGGGCUCACCAAGGCGACGAUCCCUAGCUGGUCUGAGAGGAUGAUCAGCCACACUGGAACUGAGACACGGUCCAGACUCCUACGGGAGGCAGCAGUGGGGAAUAUUGCACAAUGGGCGCAAGCCUGAUGCAGCCAUGCCGCGUGUGUGAAGAAGGCCUUCGGGUUGUAAAGCACUUUCAGUAGGGAGGAAGGUUCAUGCGUUAAUAGCGUAUGGAUUUGACGUUACCUACA
RNAcentral lists this ribosomal RNA (476 nucleotides) under uncultured bacterium. RNAcentral's name for it is "bacterial SSU rRNA". It matches the Rfam family "Bacterial small subunit ribosomal RNA", at positions 30 to 483 of the family's 1533-position model. The record is from RNAcentral.